This is a long non-coding RNA of Episyrphus balteatus (marmalade hoverfly), 1183 nucleotides long. RefSeq lists it as uncharacterized. The record is from RefSeq and is a predicted model, not a curated record. The transcript is spliced from 3 exons. NCBI's taxonomy places the organism in Eukaryota, Metazoa, Arthropoda, Insecta, Diptera, Syrphidae.
ACAGGCCUAUUCUGGACAACCUCACUGAUGCCUCACAAGUCACAAUAACCUCAUAACUCGAGUUGAACUCGAUUUUGUGACUUUUUCGUAUUCUGGCGAAAACCUCACAGUCACAAGAACCUCAUAAGGUGAGGUGAGUUUUGUUUUGUGAGGUUUUUCGUAUUCUGGCGUACCCUCACAAGUUGUGAGCCUCAUAAAAAUUGUUAAAAUUGUGAUCUCCUCCAGAGCAGGUCACAACUCACAAAUUACUAGAGUUUUGAUAUUUUUUAUUUCCAUAAAUAUUUUGGGAACAAUUUUAAGAAAAAAAAUAAAAAUCAAUAACCAAUUCCAAGAAGACACCCCAAAGCAAUGUAUCCCAAAACGACUUCCAUUGGAUGUUGGUUGCAUCUGGAGAUAGUUUCUCAAAGUCGUCGAAUUAUAUUUGCGACAUGGCUUUUGCAUCGGCGUUACUUUGGACGACGAUCAAAGCAUAAUGACUUUAUGCUUGAAACCGAAAGAGAGCUGGAGUAGCUCAAGGGGUGGCCAUAUCAUUCAUUACCUCACCAUAUCAUUCAUUACAAAACCAAGUUCAAGGAGGCACAGCAAACGAGCUAUGUUCGAACCAUAGGAUUUCUUUGCAUACAAAGAAUCAAAGAUGAACUCAAAAGCGCAAAUUUUUGCUUCGAUCCAGUUAAAUACCUAACCAUAACAAAGCAUAACAACAAACGUAUCAGCACCUAAUAUGUAUCAAUAAAAAUAACCAGAGUCUAACGAAGUCCGUAAACCAUGUUUCUAGCUACAUUGGAAAUAUUUAAAUACCAUAGUAUCACACAAUAAAAUCAGCCUCCAGUUGAGAACAAGAAAAAAAUAAUUUCAGUUCACGAUAAGCCUGGCUCUGUAAAAAAGAAAGCCGCAGUCAGUUCAAACAACAACGGGCAAAUCGCAAUCAUCAGCGAAUCAAGCAAAUUGUGUUCCAUCAGAAGCAGCAAUAACGAAUUCAACCCCAGCUGGAACAACAUCGACAAAAGCAACAAGAUGCCAAUGCCAAAGCAUAAACGAAUGCACCCAAUGCAAAAAAUAUCACAAGUUCCAGAAGUCGUUGAGAGUUCACUUGUUUUACCUAGCACUAUUUUAAAAAAUAAAAUUUAAUUGAUAUUUGAUAUAAAAAGAUCUUUACAGGAAUAAAUUUAACAAACUAAAAGAA